RNAcentral lists this ribosomal RNA (433 nucleotides) under uncultured Anaerovorax sp. Its description in RNAcentral is "partial 16S ribosomal RNA". It matches the Rfam family "Bacterial small subunit ribosomal RNA", at positions 341 to 792 of the family's 1533-position model. The record is from RNAcentral. Lineage: Bacteria; Bacillati; Bacillota; Clostridia; Peptostreptococcales; Anaerovoracaceae.
ACGGAAGGCAGCAGUGGGGAAUAUUGCACAAUGGAGGAAACUCUGAUGCAGCAACGCCGCGUGAAGGAUGAAGGUCUUCGGAUUGUAAACUUCUGUCCUUAGGGAAGAUAAUGACGGUACCUUUGGAGGAAGCCCCGGCUAACUACGUGCCAGCAGCCGCGGUAGUACGUAGGGGGCAAGCGUUAUCCGGAAUUAUUGGGCGUAAAGAGUGCGUAGGUGGUUACCUAAGCGUGGGGUGAAAGGCAUCGGCUUAACCGGUGUUAGCCCCGCGAACUGGGCUACUUGAGUGCAGGAGGGGAAAGUGGAAUUCCUAGUGUAGCGGUGAAAUGCGUAGAUAUUAGGAGGAACACCGGUGGCGAAGGCGACUUUCUGGACUGUUACUGACACUGAGGCACGAAAGUGUGGGGAGCAAACAGGAUUAGAUACCCUGGUA